AUUGAACGCUGGCGGCAUGCUUUACACAUGCAAGUCGAACGGCAGCGCGGGCUUCGGCCUGGCGGCGGGGGGCGAACGGGUGGGUAAUGCAGCGGAACGUGCCCAGCAGUGGGGGAUAGCGCGGCGACGGCGGGAUAAAUACCGCAUACGCCCUGAGGGUGAAAGCGGGGGACCGAAAGGCCUCCCGCUCUUGCGGCGGCCGAUGUCGGAUUGGCUGGUUGGUGGGGUGAAGGCCUACCAAGGCGACGAUCCGUAGCUGGUCUGAGAGGCCGACCAGCCACCCUGGGACUGAGACACGGCCCAGACUCCUACGGGAGGCAGCAGUGGGGAAUUUUGGACAAUGGGGGCAACCCUGAUCCAGCCAUUCCGCGGGCGGGAAGAAGGCCUUCGGGUUUUAAACCGCUUUUGUUCGGGAAGAAAUCCUCUGGGCUAAUACCCCGGGUGGAUGACGGUACCGGAAGAAUAAGCACCGGCUAACUACGUG
This 484-nucleotide ribosomal RNA is filed under the name uncultured bacterium. Its description in RNAcentral is "partial 16S ribosomal RNA". It matches the Rfam family "Bacterial small subunit ribosomal RNA", at positions 28 to 507 of the family's 1533-position model. The record is from RNAcentral.